UUCUUCAUUUUAUGAAAACUAUCGCAAUUAUACGCGAAUAAGUAUGAUCCAAUGAAAGUCUGUGUUAAUUCCAUCUUUUGGCAUUAGAAGCAAAAUGACUAGAAUCCACGGAGACCGAGAUAUGUUUUUGCAAAGAAUAAAAAAGACAGUAGAUAAUUGCCUCAGAUUGGGAAAAUCAGAUAUUUUUAACAGAUAUUAGUCCAGAAAUAAUAAAAACUGUACAAAAU
This 227-nucleotide long non-coding RNA is filed under the name Mytilus galloprovincialis (Mediterranean mussel). Lineage: Eukaryota; Metazoa; Mollusca; Bivalvia; Mytilida; Mytilidae. The record is from RNAcentral.